This 54-nucleotide transfer RNA is filed under the name Cordylochernes scorpioides. Its description in RNAcentral is "tRNA-OTHER". The record is from RNAcentral. Lineage: Eukaryota; Metazoa; Arthropoda; Arachnida; Pseudoscorpiones; Chernetidae.
CCAUCGGUGGUUCAGUGGUAGAAUGCUCGCCGGGUUCGAUUCCCGGCCGAUGCA